Molecule: ribosomal RNA, 436 nt
Filed under: uncultured eukaryote
Lineage: Eukaryota
Description: bacterial SSU rRNA
Rfam family: Eukaryotic small subunit ribosomal RNA
Source: RNAcentral
CCUGACGGUAGUCGUAUGCUCGUCUCCGAGACUAAGCCAUGCAAGUCCAAGUACACGUCCUUGAACGACGGAAACUGCGAACGGCUCAGUUUAAAUCAAGUUGCGAUCUACUCGGCGUUCCGCGCCGCCGGAUAACCGUAGUAAUUCUAGGGCUAAUACGUGCGAAGCGCCCGAAGCCGCGAGGCGACGGGCGUUCUCGCCGGAUGUAGGAACCGACCCGGGGACCGCCGGGGCAACCCCGGCGCCCCCCGAGACGGGGCGAACCACGGUGAAAUGACGGAUCGUCGGCCCCGCGCCGGCGACUCGCCGAAUGAGUUUCUGACCUAUCAACUUCGAGACGGCGGGGUAGAGGCCCGCCGCGGUAACGACGGGUAACGGGGAAUCAGGGUUCGAUUUCCGGAGAGGGGUAGUCCCCGUAGAAACGGCUACCACUUCC